RNAcentral lists this ribosomal RNA (465 nucleotides) under uncultured bacterium. RNAcentral's name for it is "partial 16S ribosomal RNA". It matches the Rfam family "Bacterial small subunit ribosomal RNA", at positions 28 to 507 of the family's 1533-position model. The record is from RNAcentral.
GAUGAACGCUGGCGGCGUGCUUAACACAUGCAAGUCGAACGGAAAGGCUCCUGCUUGCAGGGGUACUCGAGUGGCGAACGGGUGAGUAACACGUGGGUGAUCUGCCCUGCACUUCGGGAUAAGCCUGGGAAACUGGGUCUAAUACCGGAUAGGACGAUGGUUUGGAUGCCAUUGUGGAAAGUUUUUCGGUGUGGGAUGAGCUCGCGGCCUAUCAGCUUGUUGGUGGGGUAAUGGCCUACCAAGGCGUCGACGGGUAGCCGGCCUGAGAGGGUGUACGGCCACAAUGGGACUGAGAUACGGACCAGAAGCCUACGGGAGGCAGGAGUGGGGAAUAUUGCACAAUGGGCGCAAGCCUGAUGCAGCGACGCCGCGUGGGGGAUGACGGCCUUCGGGUUGUAAACUCCUUUCGCUAGGGACGAAGCGCAAGUGACGGUACCUGGAGAAGAAGCACCGGCUAACUACGUG